AAUUUUUAACCUGUUUUUCUGUAGCAAACAUCAUGACAUAUUGGAAAAUAUUUUAUAUUGUCUUUCCACUGUACUUAAUCCUCUUCUGUAAAUUGUUCCUUUUUGUCUGUGAGGAAGUAGCAGCUAUGGCUUUUGAAAUACUGCACUCAAAAAGUAAUUGCAAUUAAAAUUUCAAGCUGCUUCCAUUCUGUGUGGGAUAUCAUUGGCUGAGUAAGUUUUAUAAACAGCUGUUUAUAUAGGAAGAAAAAGCCCAACUCACCAUUAUUUUAGUCAUGUCCUUUAGCUGAUUUGUAAAGAAGUUCAUCUGCACUGCUGGUCUCUCUGAGAGUCACUCAGAAUCAGGACCUUUACAGCAUAUUUAAAACACUGUUGUUUCUUAGAGAAAGAUAUCCAGUAUUGGUAAGUGAUAAAAAUUUGGAAACUGAAAUAUUUUGAGUAAACUUAGUGUUUUAGUAGUUUUUAGAAUGCAUCUUAAUACUGUAAUUUUUUUUCUUUUAAGGUGGGAAGAUGAUUAUAAGCCAGAGAAUGAUCCUGUUCGGAAACAGAAAGCUCUGGAGUUCUUGGAGACUUUUCACAUCACCUCAGACUCAGAAGCAACACUUAUUGUUCGCAUUACACAGGAACUCAUGGAGGCUUUGAAGGCCUUUUGUGAAAAGAAAGCAGCAGAUAACUACACCAACAGUUUAGGCCCACUGGUGCCAGUACCACAAGAUGAAUUUCCAGAAAGGCAAAGCAUCCCAGAACACUAUGGGCCAGAUGUAGAAUACAAAGGAAGUUCUGACUGGAAUCAAGGGUUUUUGUCUCAGUAUGAAGAGUAUUCUGAAGAUGCUUCUUUUGCUCCUGCUCACCCCAACAGUUACCAAGCAGAUGAUGGAUCAUCCUCCUGUCAUCUGACACCUGACAACUUUGCAAGUGUGUCUCUGCUCGGGGACUCUCCUGCUGUUGAGCCUGACAUUCCUGCCAGUGGUGUCAGCCAGUGGCUGAGACAGCUCAGGAACUCGGCGCCCUCCAUGAAUUUGGCUCCUGGGGCCUCUUCAUACCAGAGCAGCCCAGUGAAGGAGUACUCAGCAGAAUACAUACCCAGUGAUGUGCGAGGAAACGAGCUCUGUGAUAACAGACUCUCAUUUGGCAGAGAAAAUACGAAAUGGAGCAAUCAACAAGUGUGUACCAAAGCAGGGCAUAUAAGUGACCAAGAAUUAUCCUAUCUCAAUUAUUCUGCCUCAUAUCCUUCAUCUGGAAGAUACUUUACAAAUUAUACUUCACAAAACUAUUCCUCUUACAAGAACUAUGAGUCUGUUAAUACUUGUACGUCUUCUGCAAUUUCUACUGUUUCAGGAAGAGGUGGAGCCAGGUGGCACCAGGACACUAGGUGGAAUGAGUGGAAUGAGGACUAUAGGUGUUACGAGGAUUCUAGCUGGAAGCAGGAAUCUAGGUGUCAAGAAUUCAGGUAUCAGAAAUCAGGCUACCAGAGAGACUGGAGUUCACAUCAGGACUCAUUUUCUGCCAGUGGUUCGUACCAAGAUCACCAUCAGUUCAGAAGCUCAGAAGAGAUGUUUGAUGGAGCUGAUGUUGGUCUUGCUCCCAACACUGUGAACAAACUCCUAGGGAAGGAUGUGCCUACAAUGACCAGGAUGCUCAAGCAGUUGGCUCCGUAUCACCCAGCGCUUCAAAAAGUAAAUAUUCAGACAUUCGUCAACGUGCUAAUAGAAGCCAGAGAGAAAGAUUAA
Molecule: long non-coding RNA, 1727 nt
Organism: Junco hyemalis (dark-eyed junco)
Lineage: Eukaryota; Metazoa; Chordata; Aves; Passeriformes; Passerellidae
Source: Ensembl